Molecule: small nuclear RNA, 106 nt
Filed under: Chelydra serpentina (North American snapping turtle)
Lineage: Eukaryota; Metazoa; Chordata; Testudines; Chelydridae
Source: RNAcentral
UUUUUCUUCGGCAGCACAUAUACUAAAAUUGGAACGAUACAGAGAAGAUUAGCAUGGGCCCCUGCGCAAGGAUGACACACAAAUUCGUGAAGCGUUCCGUAUUUUU